CCGGCCCUGUUACCGCUCACAGCCCAUGACCUUCCUCUGGGCCCAGCCACUGUGAGCAGCUCUUAACAUCCCUUCACCCUCACGGGUUCCAGGCAGGAUUUGUCCCUCGGGGGAGCCAUUACGGCCCGCCCUAGCCCGAGUGGAUUUGGCCCAAUUCCUUCCUCUGGGAAUUAGGUCGCCUCCCCCACUGCUCGAACCCUUGACCUCCCACUUUAAGGGAAUAGUCUGGUGAGAGUGAGUACCAAUUGUUCCAUUG
Molecule: long non-coding RNA, 256 nt
Filed under: Manihot esculenta (cassava)
Lineage: Eukaryota; Viridiplantae; Streptophyta; Magnoliopsida; Malpighiales; Euphorbiaceae
Description: long non-coding RNA (MESC_LNC002892)
Source: RNAcentral